AGUCUUUUGGUUUUAAGGCUUAAAGCCAUGCAAGUCUCAGUACGAGCUUUCUUAAAGUGAAACCGCAAAAGGCUCAGUAAACCGGUCAUAGUUUACCGGAUAAAUGCCACUACGUGGAUAACUGUGGUAAUUCUAGAGCUAAUACAUGCAAACCAAGUCCCGACCAGCGAUGGAGAGGACGCUUUUAUUGGAUCAAAACCAUUCGCCCGGCUCGUCCGGGCGUCUGCUUGAUGACUCUAGAUAACACCACAGAUCGUACGGUCACAGUACCGGCGACAUAUCCUUCAAAUGUCUGACUUAUCAGCUGUCGAUGGUAGACUCUGUGUCUACCAUGGCGUUCACGGGUAACGGGGAAUCAGGGUUCGAUUCCGGAGAGGGAGCCUGAGAAACGGCUACCACAUCCAAGGAAGGCAGCAGGCACGCAAAUUACCCACUCCCGGCACGGGGAGGUAGUGACAAAAAAUAACGAUACGGGACUCAUCCGAGGCCCCGUAAUCGGAAUGAGAACAUCCUAAAUCCUUUAACGAGGAUCUAUUGGAGGGCAAGUCUGGUGCCAGCAGCCGCGGUAAUUCCAGCUCCAAUAGCGUAUAUUAAAGUUGUUGCGGUUAAAAAGCUCGUAGUUGGUUCUGCGUGCCACGCUGUCGGUUCACCGCCUGUCGGUGCAACUGGCAUGUCGUGGCAUGUCCUGCCGGUGGCGGAUAGGCUUCGCGGCGCUCCCUACUCGAUACGUCUUGUAGGUCGUCGCGUCGUCCUUGUACGCCGACUCAAUCCUACCGCGGUGCUCUUUACCGAGUGUCGAGGUAGGCCGGCACAUUUUACUUUGAACAAAUUAGAGUGCUUAAAGCAGGCUCUUAAAUCAGCCUGAAUAGUGGUGCAUGGAAUAAUGGAACAGGACCUUGGUUCUAUUUUGUUGGUUUUAGGAAUCCAAGGUAAUGAUCAUAAGACAGGCGGGGGCAUUCGUAUUGCGACGUUAGAGGUGAAAUUCUUGGAUCGUCGCAGACGCACUAGAGCGAAAGCAUUUGCCAGUAUGUCUAUGAUCAGACGAAGUAGAGGUCGAAGGCGAUCAAGAAUACCGCCCUAGUUUUUAACAAUAAACGAAU
This 1100-nucleotide ribosomal RNA is filed under the name Dysdercus koenigii. RNAcentral's name for it is "SSU rRNA". It matches the Rfam family "Eukaryotic small subunit ribosomal RNA", at positions 21 to 1041 of the family's 1831-position model. The record is from RNAcentral. Lineage: Eukaryota; Metazoa; Arthropoda; Insecta; Hemiptera; Pyrrhocoridae.